AUGUCCUUAUGUGUUGCUGGUUUUUGCAAGUUCGUGUUUGUAAUUUCACGGAACAUUAGACUUUCAAGUUUCAACAUUAUACAGUCCCUGCAAUGGUUCCAUUAUAAGUAUCUGCAGAUUAUAUGUAAUCAACUUGAAGUUUUUCUGUUUUUGAUACUCUUGAAGCAAAGACUUUAGCAUCUUUGAUAUAUAACUUUUGAAAGCAGAAUGAGCCACUUGUGACAUGCUCAUUGUAAGCCUUAAAAUUUUAUCUAUCAAAUGAUCGAAGACUAUGUCAUUAAUUAUCUGCAAUAUGAGUUGCUUAGACUUUAUCUGUCAAAUGAUACGAGACUCUUUGGUGAUUUGUAAUAUGAGUUAUGCACUUUUUAAGUGUAAUCAGUUGGAUGCAUAUUGUUUUUCGCUGCAUGAGUAAUUUGUUUUUAACGAGCUAAGAAGUGGGUUUUUGAAUUGCAAAGACAAGCAAAUCCAACUUUAAUAAUGUUCUUGGCUGGAAACAAGGCUGACUUGGAAGAGAAGAGAAAAGUAGGGACUGAGAAAAGUAGUCCUCACUUAGGAAGCAUAGAUCUAUCAGGGCAGAAAUGGUUAGGAAGUAGAGACGAUACGUCGUCUGCAGAAGGCAAGCAGAAAACAAGUAGUGAAGUCUUUGACCAUUGCGCAAUAGAUACACUGCUGAUUUCUCAUGGGACAAGUACACUCUUCAUGAAGGACCUUUUGAGGAGGUCGGAGCAACGUGUUGAAACUUUUAUCAAUGGGGUAGAUUAGUUUAUGCUGUUGUUAACGAACUGUAUUUCAUGGUUUGAGUAUGACUUUCAUCAUUGGGAUAUAUGAUAAUACAUUGGAAGUUAUAUGUCUUUUUAAAUAAUAUCAAACAAUAGAAAGUUACCAACAACUAUGGUUUGAAACAAGUACACACAACAGAAAGAUCAAAGAUACUUCAAGCAUCUACACAUUCAAAGGACAUUUAAAUGUCCUUUUACAACAAUAGAGACAAUAGAUAACUAAUAGUGGAUGUUGUUUCAAUAAAGUUCACACAACAGAUUUGGCAAAGAAACAUGGAAAUUCUACACAUUCAGACGACAUUUUAUUGUCGUCUCGCAUUAAAACAGACAAUAGAUUAUUUGUAAAGUCUGUUGCUAGAGUUUGACAACAACAACAUUUGACUGUCGUUCUAUUUCAUAUCUAACCACAUAUACUUACAAUUUGUACAUAUUUAAGCACAUUCAGACGACAGAUUUUUUUUAGGUGUCUGUCGUCUGAGUGAAUUUCUGACGUCGGGCUUUAACCGUCGUCUGAACGUCAAUCAGAUAUCAGCUUACUAGACGACAGAUUUUUUGCAUAUCAGACGACGGUCAUUGUCUGUC
Molecule: long non-coding RNA, 1361 nt
Organism: Rosa rugosa (rugosa rose)
Lineage: Eukaryota; Viridiplantae; Streptophyta; Magnoliopsida; Rosales; Rosaceae
Exons: 3
Source: RefSeq, a predicted model, not a curated record